UCUUUACCACUAGCGCCAUCUGGGAGGCCCAUAGAAACAUCCCUGAGACCUCCUAGUCUUUCAUUAGGAGAUUAGCGUUGAAUGAAGACUGAAUGUGUUGACGAGAGCUGCUUCUCAAGUCAAGAGAAAAGAACUUUACGCAGUCUACUUUAGAGUGUGAGAUGUAUCCACAGGGGUUUGAGAUGUGGAGGCACAUGGAUUCAUCUAACAGCCACUGGAGGCAUUGAGGAGAUGAGAGAUGAAAGUUGCAUCAGACAAGGCAAGGAAGAGACGCUGCUGCUCAGAUGAGCCUGAACUCCCAAAGUCAGUUUACGCACAGGAUGCCACUGCUGUUGACUAGACAAGGGACAGGCACAGGAAGGACUGACGAGAAGGCCUCUCUGGUCUGUCCAACAGGGGGACGGGUACCAUUGAUUCUUAGGGCUUCAGAAGGGCUCACCCGUGGGAUACAAGAUCGUGUGGUACUUGUGUAAGGGUGAGAGGUCCUCAGAGCUUGGAUGUGCCCACAUGAAAGUCAGCUUUAACGCCAGCUUAAGACAGGGUCUUCCCUGGUGGUCCAGGGGUUAAGAAUACGUCUUUCGAUGCCGAGGACACGGGUCUGUCCCCGGUCAGGGAACUAAGAUCCCGCACACUGCAGGCCAACUGAACCCGUGUGCUGCAGCUGACGAGCCUGCUCGCUCUAGAGCCGCGGGCCACGCGACAGACACCGGCGCGCUGCGAUGAAGACCGUGCAGCCAGAGAGCCGUCGCACCACAGGACUGUCCAGGACGUCUCUCCUGCUCCCCUUACUCUCCUCUUCUCGCUGCCGACCUUAGCCCUGGAGAGGUCAGAGGUCAGCUCACAAACUGGGGAGGGCAGUCUGGAGAAAGGGAAGCAGUGGUCCAUGCCCCCAUUCCCAGCUAUAGUGGUCCCAGCUGCAGCAAGCCCUGACUGGGAGAAAAGACUGGACUUUAAAUCAAGUUUGGAUUUUGCUUUUGCAUGGGACUGAUUCAGAGAAGGCGAUGGCACCCCACUCCAGUACUCCUGUCUGGAAAAUCCCAUGGAUGGAGGAGCCUGGUGUGUAAACGGCACUUAAAGCAGCCUGAGCCAAGAACCCCUGAGUAAAGCUCGAGUCCUCUGUGUUCAGCAACCCCGUCCCAAUACCUUCAGCAAACUCUUUCAGCCCUAGCUCCAAAAACAUCCGGGACCCAUCCGCGUCUCUUCAUUCCCGCCAUUCUGGUUGAAGCUGCUUUCACUUCUUGCCAAGACACCUGCAGUCGCCUGAGCCGGUCUCCCUCCCUGCCCCCUUUUGUCUGGGACGUGGUCUUACCCGCUUUGUUUAUUGCUCUCUACUGACAAAUCCAAACACCUCACUCAUGCUUACAAAGCCCUAUUGAUCUGCUCCCUGCAGUCCUCCAACCUCAUUUCCCAUCACUUGCUUGCUUUGAUCCGUAGCCUGCUUGCAGUUCCCUGGAUCACUGGCCUCCUUUCUGGAAUGAUCUCCUCUAGGUCUUUGUGUGACCACCCCUUCUUGUCUGAGACUCUCAGCUUAAACGUCAUCUUAUUUAGUGACAUCUAAGAGAACUUCCCCGACUGCCCCAUCAUCAAACCAGUCAAUCCAAAAGAAAAUCAAGCCUGAAUAUUCACUGAAAGGACUGACGAUGAAGCUGAAGCUCC
Bubalus bubalis (water buffalo) is the source of this 1656-nucleotide long non-coding RNA. RefSeq lists it as uncharacterized. The record is from RefSeq and is a predicted model, not a curated record. The transcript has 2 exons. Lineage: Eukaryota; Metazoa; Chordata; Mammalia; Artiodactyla; Bovidae.